Molecule: ribosomal RNA, 253 nt
Filed under: uncultured bacterium
Lineage: Bacteria
Description: partial 16S ribosomal RNA
Rfam family: Bacterial small subunit ribosomal RNA
Source: RNAcentral
GACGAACCGUGCAAACGUUGUUCGGAAUUACUGGGCGUAAAGCGCGUGUAGGUGGUGGGACAAGUCUGCUGUGAAAGCGCCUGGCUUAACCGGGCGAGGUCGGCGGAAACUGUUCGACUCGAGGACGGUAGAGGGGGGUGGAAUUCCCGGUGUAGUGGUGAAAUGCGUAGAGAUCGGGAGGAACACCUGUGGCGAAGGCGGCCCCCUGGGCCGGCCCUGACACUGAGACGCGAAGGCGUGGGGAGCGAACAGG